UAUUCACGGAAUUGGCACAGCCUCUGCAUAAAAAAAUCCGACAGAUCACAUAAACACUGCCUUCAACGUGGAGGGCGGUGUUUCCCGACAGAACGGGAAUGGACAAAGGCGUCCUCGCUGGGUAACCGGCGGGACGCC
This 138-nucleotide small RNA is filed under the name Azotobacter chroococcum. RNAcentral's name for it is "Pseudomonas sRNA P11". It matches the Rfam family "Pseudomonas sRNA P11". Rfam says of the family: P11 is located between a putative threonine protein kinase and putative nitrate reductase and appears to be conserved in several Pseudomonas species. P11 has a predicted Rho independent terminator at the 3'end but the function of P11 is unknown. Lineage: Bacteria; Pseudomonadati; Pseudomonadota; Gammaproteobacteria; Pseudomonadales; Pseudomonadaceae. The record is from RNAcentral.